RNAcentral lists this ribosomal RNA (545 nucleotides) under Raffaelea subfusca. RNAcentral describes it as "eukaryotic LSU rRNA". It matches the Rfam family "Eukaryotic large subunit ribosomal RNA", at positions 44 to 591 of the family's 3401-position model. The record is from RNAcentral. Lineage: Eukaryota; Fungi; Ascomycota; Sordariomycetes; Ophiostomatales; Ophiostomataceae.
CAAUAAGCGGAGGAAAAGAAACCAACAGGGAUUGCCUCAGUAACGGCGAGUGAAGCGGCAACAGCUCAAAUUUGAAAUCUGGCCCCCCCUGGGGGCCCGAGUUGUAAUUUGGAGAGGAUGCUUUGGGCGCGGCGCCUUCCGAGUUCCUUGGAACAGGACGCCAGAGAGGGUGAGAGCCCCGUACGGUUGGACGCCUAGCCCGUGUAAAGCUCCUUCGACGAGUCGAGUAGUUUGGGAAUGCUGCUCAAAAUGGGAGGUAAAUUUCUUCUAAAGCUAAAUACUGGCCAGAGACCGAUAGCGCACAAGUAGAGUGAUCGAAAGAUGAAAAGCACUUUGAAAAGAGGGUUAAACAGCACGUGAAAUUGUUGAAAGGGAAGCGCCUGUGGCCAGACUUGCUGCCCGCGGUUCACCUGGCGCCCCCGCGCCAGGGCACGCCGCGGGUGCGCAGGCCAGCAUCGGCUUCCCCAGGGGGAUAAAGGCCGCGGGAACGUAGCUCCUCCGGGAGUGUUAUAGCCCGCGGCGCCAUGCCUCUGGGGGGGCCGAGG